Molecule: small nuclear RNA, 99 nt
Filed under: Chinchilla lanigera (long-tailed chinchilla)
Lineage: Eukaryota; Metazoa; Chordata; Mammalia; Rodentia; Chinchillidae
Source: RNAcentral
GUACUUACUUCAGCAGCAUAUAUACUAAAAUUAUAACAAUACAGAGAUUAGCCAAUGCAUAAGAACAACAUGCAAAUUUGUGAAUCAUUCCAUAUUUUU